CCAGACUCCUACGGGAGGCAGCAGUAGGGAAUCUUCCGCAAUGGGCGAAAGCCUGACGGAGCAACGCCGCGUGAGUGAAGAAGGAUUUCGGUUCGUAAAGCUCUGUUGUUAGGGAAGAAUGGAUAUGUAGUAACUAUACAUAUAAGAGACGGUACCUAACCAGAAAGCCACGGCUAACUACGUGCCAGCAGCCGCGGUAAUACGUAGGUGGCAAGCGUUGUCCGGAAUUAUUGGGCGUAAAGCGCGCGCAGGUGGUUUAAUAAGUCUGAUGUGAAAGCCCACGGCUCAACCGUGGAGGGUCAUUGGAAACUGUUAAACUUGAGUGCAGGAGAGAAAAGUGGAAUUCCUAGUGUAGCGGUGAAAUGCGUAGAGAUUAGGAGGAACACCAGUGGCGAAGGCGGCUUUUUGGCCUGUAACUGACACUGAGGCGCGAAAGCGUGGGGAGCAAACAGGAUUAGAUACCCUGGUAGUCCACGCCGUAAACGAUGAGUGCUAAGUGUUGGUCUCAUAAGAGAUCAGUGCUGCAGCUAACGCAUUAAGCACUCCGCCUGGGGAGUACGACCGCAAGGUUGAAACUCAAAGGAAUUGACGGGGGCCCGCACAAG
Molecule: ribosomal RNA, 605 nt
Filed under: uncultured bacterium
Lineage: Bacteria
Description: bacterial SSU rRNA
Rfam family: Bacterial small subunit ribosomal RNA
Source: RNAcentral